This 396-nucleotide ribosomal RNA is filed under the name uncultured bacterium. RNAcentral describes it as "bacterial SSU rRNA". It matches the Rfam family "Bacterial small subunit ribosomal RNA", at positions 29 to 412 of the family's 1533-position model. The record is from RNAcentral.
AAUCAACGCUGGCGGCGUGCCUAACACAUGCAAGUCGAGCGCGAAAGGGGAGCAAUCCCCAAGUAGAGCGGCGAACGGGUGAGUAACGCGUGGGUAAUCUGCCUCCGAGUGGGGAACAACACCGGGAAACUGGUGCUAAUACCGCAUGACAUCGUUGGACCUUCGGAUCUGACGAUCAAAGCCGGGGACCGCAAGGCCUGGCGCUUGGAGAGGAGCCCGCGUCCGAUUAGCAGUUGGUGGGGUAAUGGCCCACCAAGGCUACGAUCGGUAGCCGGCCUGAGAGGGCGGACGGCCACACUGGGACUGAGACACGGCCCAGACUCCUACGGGAGGCAGCAGUGGGGAAUUUUCNCAAUGGGCGAAAGCCUGACGAAGCAACGCCGCGUGGAGGAUGAA